Hyaena hyaena (striped hyena) is the source of this 660-nucleotide long non-coding RNA. RefSeq lists it as uncharacterized. The record is from RefSeq and is a predicted model, not a curated record. The transcript is spliced from 6 exons. NCBI's taxonomy places the organism in Eukaryota, Metazoa, Chordata, Mammalia, Carnivora, Hyaenidae.
GCCAGCUCACUUUAAGAGCAGCUUUGUGAAAAACAACCCCAGUGCGCACGCGCACGCCGCGGCUGCUGUCCGCCCUCCCUGCGCGUCCCCUCCCGCGCCCGGCUCGCUCCCUCGCUCGCUCGCGGGUACAGUAGGUGUACAGCUAAGGGAAGAAGAUACUGGGGCUGUCGGGAGGCUGAACCUGACAUCUCUUCAUUGUGGGCUCCUAUUGAAUACAACAAUGAUGUUGGUGUGAAGACUGAAGACAAAAUUUGCUAUAUUAUUAGCAAAAUAAUGAUCACUCCAAAUGAAAUGAAGUGUUGGAGACAGCAGUGGCCAGUAGUUAGAGCAAUAGUUAGAGGACAAAGCCAAUUAAGGGAACUGUCGAAAAAUCAUGAAAACAUUGAUUGAAAAAACUACAAUAUUUGCUGUGGAGAAACAGAAGUUUGUGGAUUUAUGAAUGGAAAUGAGAUAUAGCGUUCUGGAUUCUUACAAGAUAGCAGAAAGUAUGAGCAAUGAUGCACUGUUCCCCUGUGCAGGCUCUGCCGUCCACACUGUGCCCCUCUACAUGAACAAAUCCUCAUCUUCCUCAGGCUUGGCCUCUCUACACCAGACUGAUCUCUGUGUGGGGACAUCUUUACCAUGUAUCAGAGAGAUGGAGACAGACUGUAAGCAGGGGAG